This 253-nucleotide ribosomal RNA is filed under the name uncultured bacterium. RNAcentral's name for it is "partial 16S ribosomal RNA". It matches the Rfam family "Bacterial small subunit ribosomal RNA", at positions 524 to 776 of the family's 1533-position model. The record is from RNAcentral.
UACAGAGGGUCCAAACGUUGUUCGGAAUCACUGGGCUUAAAGCGCACGUAGGUGGUUCGGUAAGUUCGAUGUGAAAGCCCCCGGCCUAACCGGGGAACUGCAUCGCGGACUGCCGAGCUUGAGAGCGGUAGGGGAGACUAGAACUCCUGGUGGAGCGGUGGAAUGCGUAGAUAUCAGGAGGAAGACCGGUGGCGAAGGCGAGUCUCUGGUCCGCUUCUGACACUGAGGUGCGAAAGCUAGGGGAGCAAACGGG